CCAAUGGUCCUCAGUUGGUUCUCUUUGUUGAUCUUCGUUCUUCCACUGCCUUCUUCUGUAUCCUAAUUUCUUUAUGACAUCAGCAUAGGGUUCAAGCUUUUCUAAAGCACGCAAACAGAUCUAGGGCGUGAUUUGGUUUGGCGAUAUCUCCACAACCGCUGGCGGUGCCUACAGUGACGGAUAACACAUUUUUAAAUUAGAAACUAAAUCAAGUUAUCUAGGGUUUCUUUCUUCUUUUCUAUACUUGUAACCACCGCAAAAGGUUCUAAUAAAUACAAUCUUAUUUUACAAUAUCAACAGUUCUCAUGAUCUACUCUGCUUCCUGUAUCUAUUCGCCGACUUGAAGGUGUUUUGUAAGCAACCAAACGUCUUCAUCUGUUCGAAGAAGAGUGGCAAAGGAAAAAAGGUAUGGAAAGGGGGAAAUAGUUCUGGAAGAGUAUUGGUAUUGGUAUUGGAUCUAACCUGAGAGAGGCUAUUAAAGGUAUUGUUGUUAUAUAGUUUUUACAAUAUCAGUUGUUUGUUUUUAGUUUCCAUUUUGUUAUGCUGUUGAGUUGUUAAAUUGGUUGAAUGAAUUUAAGAUGUGUGUUAGAUGAAUAUGAAAAAGAAUAGAUGAAUUUGAAUCAAAUGGAUUGUUACUAUGAAAUGUGGAUUGAUUAUUUGUGAAAACCAGAAUACAUAUUCGAUGAGGAGAAUGUAUAUAUUGUAUCUGUUGUAUAUUUGUUGGUUUAAUGAUUGAUUUUUGACUUAUUUGUUCUUAUUGAGUUAGUUGUUGUUGGUAUUGGAAAUGCAUAUGCCACUCACUAUUGAUGUUACUACAUCAUUUUGAGGUUUUUAAAGUGCUAACAUCAUGUCAUCUUCCUCGUCUUUCUGUGAACAAAGAUGAGGAAAGAGUGUCAAAGUAGAACUAGAUGGAAAGCGGAUCCUGCCUAGAUAGAAACGCGCGUGGUUCUAUUACCAGUUAGUUAAAAAUAAUUAAAUGUUCGGGUCAAACAUGUUAGGUUCGGGUCAACCUGUAAACUCGAGUCGUGUUCAGAUUGGUGUGUCUAACACAUUCUUCAGGUUCGGGUCUAAAAACUAUUACAUAGCUUUGUAUUUGUUUUUCGGAUGGAUGGAGUGAUAAAUGAUUAAUUCUUUGUUUGUAUAAGAUUAUGUUGUCAGAGUUUGCAUUUGAAUAAACUAACAUGAGUUUAUGAUGUUGGUAUUAGAGGAAAUCUUGUUGUGAAAAGGCAGUCACUGCUUCCGUGAGUUCUUUCUGUUAGUGAAAGAGAAAGUGUUCUCAAGACACUUUUUAAACCUCCUUUGUUGAACCUGAAACUGAACCUCUUUUGGGAGUAAAUGCAGAAAAAAAUAUGCACAAGUGGUUUGAAUGCGGCAGAAAGCUCUUAAGGUGCCAGGUGCUGUAGAGUUGUAUAACAAGGUUAUUAGUCAAACCAAUCCACAACCAAAACCUCAUAUAUGGGAUUUUGUUGUAUUUCCUUUCUCUUAUGCUGUUAUGCAACAACAUUGAGUUGAUGUUACACCAGUAGGAAAGUGGCGAGUCAGAUCAAUUGGGUAACGGGUCAUAGAUGUAUUUCAUAGCACAUGUUAAAUAAGCAAUUGUUAAUGAUUAAGAUAUUUGGACUUUUGUAUAGUUAUUAAGUUAAACUUCUAUAUUUUACUGGUUUUCGAAGACGAAAUAUCAUCUUUCUAGGGAAAAUCGUGUGCUCUCCUUCUGGUGCAAUGCUUGGAAAAACUUCUCUUGUUUAUUAUAAAGAGGAUGGGGAAGAAGAUCUGUUUGUAGGUUUACCAAAUGUGGCGAGGAUCAAGAGUAUGUGGAACAUUUGUUUGUGACAUGUGGUUUCGCUCAAACGGUAUGUAAUUUAGUAUCGCAAUGGUGUAAGCUCCCUCCAAUUUAUGCGUUCCAGGUAAGAGAUCUUCUUGAUUUGCAUCUGUACGUAGACGGGUCGGCGAAGACUAAAAAGGUUAUUCAAGCUAUUUGCCACAUGGUUUUCUGGUGCAUUUGGAGGUGUCAAAAUGAAGCGGUUUUAAAUCAAGGGCAAAUCUCGAUGCAAGAGAUUAUGGGAGAUGUAAAGGGGCUGUCAUUUUUGUUGAUUAAAGCGCAUCCCAAACAGUUGAACUUAGAUUGGGAUAUAUGGGGUAGUUUUAAUGUUCAUAGAGUUAGGUGGUAGUGCUUGAAUGUAACAUGUAUUGUAUCUGAUGUACUAUUUUUGUAUAAGCUAGCAACCUGCUAGCUUUUUGGUUUGCAAAUAAAUUGAUUGGCAAUUCAAAAAAAAAAAAAAAGCA
Molecule: RNA transcript, 2283 nt
Organism: Helianthus annuus (common sunflower)
Lineage: Eukaryota; Viridiplantae; Streptophyta; Magnoliopsida; Asterales; Asteraceae
Exons: 3
Source: RefSeq, a predicted model, not a curated record